GGAAAGAUUCUAUCGGUAUGGGAUGGGGUCGCGUCCUAUCAGCUUGAUGGCGGGGUAACGGCCCACCAUGGCUUCGACGGGUAGCCGGCCUGAGAGGGCGACCGGCCACAUUGGGACUGAGAUACGGCCCAGACUCCUACGGGAGGCAGCAGUGGGGAAUAUUGCACAAUGGGCGCAAGCCUGAUGCAGCGACGCCGCGUGCGGGAUGACGGCCUUCGGGUUGUAAACCGCUUUUGACUGGGAGCAAGCCCUUCGGGGUGAGUGUACCUUUCGAAUAAGCACCGGCUAACUACGUGCCAGCAGCCGCGGUAAUACGUAGGGUGCAAGCGUUAUCCGGAAUUAUUGGGCGUAAAGGGCUCGUAGGCGGUUCGUCGCGUCCGGUGUGAAAGUCCAUCGCUUAACGGUGGAUCCGCGCCGGGUACGGGCGGGCUUGAGUGCGGUAGGGGAGACUGGAAUUCCCGGUGUAACGGUGGAAUGUGUAGAUAU
Molecule: ribosomal RNA, 486 nt
Filed under: Bifidobacterium adolescentis
Lineage: Bacteria; Bacillati; Actinomycetota; Actinomycetes; Bifidobacteriales; Bifidobacteriaceae
Description: bacterial SSU rRNA
Rfam family: Bacterial small subunit ribosomal RNA
Source: RNAcentral